ACCAAACGUGGCUCCUCUCGAUCCCCCUCGAGAAGUAAACGCCGCAGCCGUCCUCUUCCUGACGCAACCGCAUGUCACAGAGAAGACGUCGCCGCCGCCGCCGAUCGGGAUCAACGUCUCUCGCUGCCGCGGUCUCGUGCGAUCUCCCAACCGCCGACGUACGGGAUCGCCGCCACCGACCUCCGGGAUCAGCGUCUCUCGCUGUCGCGAUCUCCCUGUCGCCAGCAUACGGGAUCGCCGCCGCCACCGUACCAGAGGAAACACUGUCAACGAUGUCCGGGAUCGACACCCCCGCGCUUCCACAGAUAUGUGUUCGAGUCGUGCAUCCCUUUAGCCUCCGCCCCUCCAUCGUCCAUGGCUCUGUGAUCUGUCGUGUUUGUUACCCCAGUAUCCUGUCCCUUUUCCCCCGAGAUUGAUGUGUUGUUUGUUUUUUGUAUCAUUGUGGAGGAGGUUGGAGAAGCGCAGGGAGAAAGGGGACCAUGGACCAAGGUUCUACAACUUUUGUUUAUAGAUUCGGGAUUCUUAUAGCCAAAGACUAUUUUACUAGAGAUUGGCGAUUUUGGGUUUCCACUGUAGCCAUUGUAGGAUUCACUAUUUUGUUCAACAUAUUGUACCUUCUGGCACUUACGCACUUGAGCUAUUAGUACCUUUUCUUCUUCUGGUUGACAUUAUUGUUCACUAUAUAUGAUUUGUUCUCAUCCAGUUGGCAGCAGCUCAAACACAGUUUCAGACGAGGAGAAUGAGAAUGAGACAAACAUUCAGACGAGGAGAAUGAGACAAACACUCUAUAGAUGAGUUCUUAUUAUUCACUAUCUUCACUUGCAAUUUCUGAAUGUUUGUCUCAUUCACUAUCUUCACUAUAUUUCAUUGCACUACUGAAGUCUAAUUAGUCAAGACAUUUGAAUCCGUUAACAAUAAUUCUAAUUAUUCACUAUCUUCACUUGCAAUUUCUGCAGAUGAAGCGACAAAUCGACCAAUUUGGUCACAUAUCACCUUGCCUUUCCAGCCUCUUUCACUUCCUUUCAACCAUCUUGUGUUCCAGGAAAUGAGAGAGCAAGGAUUCACAGAAAGUCGUCUCCACUUGCUCUCUCAUAUCACAGGUGCUUUUUGGCCUGCUGUUUUGUCAUGGGAGCCACAUGUGUUCAUCUAAUACAACUUCCAUGUGAAUCUCUUUCCCCAUUCUGUUUUUGGUUUGGACCGAAACAACUUAUCGUUAUUGCUGGUUCUAGGAUGCGGGUUGGGAUAUCUCCAGAUUAAUAUCAAGGAUUUUAGGAUAUUGUUAAAUUCCAGUUAAGAGCUCGUUGUAAAUGUUGUCCUAUCGGUACCAGAUUAGAUUCGUGAAGUAAAAUUCAAAAUGCUUGUAAUUUAGUCGCAAGAAUGGCGAAUGAAGUUUACUUAUGAUGUGAGUUAGGUACCAAAAAUUGUGGACUAAGGAACCAGAUGUGAGUUGUAUCACCAUUGGCAUUUUACUGUAUAGGCUAUUAUAGACAUGGCUCUACAUGCGUUGAGAAGUGUGAGCACGUCAAGAUAUUCUCCAUCUAGGAAUCCUCGUAUAUAUUCACACAUACGUUAUUCUUUAAAUCUGCUUGGGGGUCAAACUCAGGUGAACGGACACAUGUGCAUGAUUAUUAGUAUCCAAAGUGCCUUUAGAAGCUGUUUACUUCUGAUGACAUUGCAUAAUGAGAGGUGUGACAGGAGUAUUUGUUGUAUUUUACCUGACUGGUAUUACUGCAACUAUUAAUUAUCCAUGUUAGUUCUCUUCAAAUAGCAAUUAGGGUAUGACUGGCUUUACUGAUGCUCUCAUUCCAAGGAAAAAUGUGAAUAUUUGAUUUCAUUGGCAAAGCCUCACAUGAAGAAGUCAACGCCCCGACGCUGGUUGAUUCUGCAACUGGACGCAGUAAAGAUAGCAGGGUGCGAAUGAGUUCACAAGUAAAUAUGAGGGUUGGAAGUUGUACACCCAAAUAUGUGAUCGUGGACACUAACUGAGGACAAAAAUGUGAUGGCGUCAUUAACAGUUCAAUGGGAAUUUGGAGAAGGGUGCAUUAUCUCUGUGCUGAUUGGUGUAGAGCAUGUAGGAUGUGCUUGGUGAGCUUGAAUGCGACCAAACCGUGUUGGAUUCGACAUCAAACAUUUAUAUCUUACUAUGUAGGAGUACUUUGUUAUGGUUUCGUUGCAAUGCUUGUGGCCAGUAAGAUGUUUUCUUAUAACACAGGUCUGGGGCUGGCAGAUUGUUGGGUGAGAUGUUUGUGGACUUUGUACAAGAAAUAAGAGAGAGAAGUAAGAUUAAACCGCAACUCUGAUGGCGUUGGCCAGCUGCGAGGCAAGCCCUCCUAAUCCCCCCUCCUCCUCAUUUUCCUUUCAAACCUAGAUGUUGGUUUCCUAUAGUAUAACCAGUGCGUACUUCGAUUGCUCGCAUGCACCUUGAUUUCCAUUAAGCAAUAUUUUGCAUCUGCCACUGGGCAGUGUGAUGCUCAAACUUUUAAGUGACGCUUGUGGACUUUGGAUUGCUUACAGGUUGGUGGAAAUUCAUUUUUUUUUUGAGUUAGCCGAAUAUUAGGUGUUCGUUGAAAUAAAACAUAUGUAUGUGUGACCCUUAGGUGUUCGUUGAAAGUCCCCAUACGAGUUGAUGUUUCAGAUUUUAAGUACUGUGUGUUCUUCAAUGGACCAAUUCAUGGCUUUCAUCUUUAAUGC
Long non-coding RNA from Triticum aestivum (bread wheat), 2691 nucleotides. RefSeq lists it as uncharacterized. The transcript has 4 exons. NCBI's taxonomy places the organism in Eukaryota, Viridiplantae, Streptophyta, Magnoliopsida, Poales, Poaceae. The record is from RefSeq and is a predicted model, not a curated record.